GACGCCAAUUUCGUAGCUACAAAUGUUAAAAAAUACAAAACAAAGACGAAAAACAUUUACCUUGAAUACUUUGUCGUGGCCUAGGCAUGUUUUUAAAACAAUUAGACCAGUUUAUGCUUCAAUAUUACUCUUUUAAAGCGGAAAAUAUAGCGAAACAGCAAAAAUGCUGAGCACUUUGGCAAUACACGUGACGUCACAGAUUGCAACUAGGUUUAGACUGUGACGUCAGGAAGUUUUCUAUCCAGUUAUUUUACAAUCCAUGGAUAUAUAUUUAUUAAGUUUUAGGAUAGGGAUAUUAUUGAAAGUAAGAAAUUUUCAAGUAACAAAAAUACAUUGAUAAAGUUUGCAAGUAUAAGAAACUUUUAACUGGUCCUGUCAUUGAGUAGCGAUAGACAAGGACGAACUGACAGUUUUAUAGGUCUCGAUCAGGAAUAAAUCCCAGCCUCAUUACGAGUGUAUAGGCCAUCCUGGGAAUGGCGUGCGAUCGCAGGCGCAUGCCUUGCACACGUAUCAGCAGAUUAUGAAGAAGUACGACUUAUCGCACGCCUCGAUUAAGCUGCAAUGUAAAAUAAUUAUACUCACCUUACAUGCACUAUAUAAUUAUACAUUCCAAUAAAUAUAAUGAAACAUAAGUGACUUUCUAAAAGUCCAACACAAUGGUC
Paramuricea clavata is the source of this 662-nucleotide non-coding RNA. The record is from the annotation of a GenBank genome assembly. Lineage: Eukaryota; Metazoa; Cnidaria; Anthozoa; Malacalcyonacea; Plexauridae.